UAGGGAAUCUUCCACAAUGGACGCAAGUCUGAUGGAGCAACGCCGCGUGAGUGAAGAAGGGUUUCGGCUCGUAAAGCUCUGUUGUUAAAGAAGAACGUGGGUAAGAGUAACUGUUUACCCAGUGACGGUAUCUAACCAGAAAGCCACGGCUAACUACGUGGCAG
RNAcentral lists this ribosomal RNA (164 nucleotides) under uncultured bacterium. Its description in RNAcentral is "partial 16S rRNA". It matches the Rfam family "Bacterial small subunit ribosomal RNA", at positions 355 to 511 of the family's 1533-position model. The record is from RNAcentral.